UGUAAGGGAUAACUUGGUGCUCUUCAGUUAUUUAUUUGUCCAGCCUCAUUUAAAGCUGCUGAGCUGUAUAUUGUGGUUUAGAUGAAAAUGUCAGUUCGCCAUGAUGGGGUGCUUGAGCACAGACUGACUUUGAUUCUCUGACCACUUGGUUAGGGACAAGAAAGAGAAAUUUUACAUUAAAUUCAAAACACAUCAACCAUCACCAUUUUGAUCAGAGAAAACCUUCAUGUCUCAAAACUCAUGGUUCUGACAGACAAUAAUAUAUCACACUAUGAUGCCUAGACAGUUUCACAGAGAAAUUCAUGUUCAAUGAUAUGGUGUUUGGGGAGUUCUUAAGUGAGUUUUCUGCUUUCCUUGUUAAUUGCAUUAGCUGUUAAUAUUUGCUGCUCCAAAGUCUGAAUUUAAAUGUAAACUCUGUGAAUAUAGUAAUUGUACUUUAUUCAUGUCUUUUCAGACUUGCUGAGAAAGCAUUUGGUGAUGGAAAAGGCAUAAAAUGAACAGAACAAGCAGGCUGCCAUAUCAACACGGAAAGUGCUCAGAAGAACUGUUCAUGUUGUUGGUUGGAAGCAACACUAAUAAUUAUGUUAACAGGAGUGGCACACGGCUGAUCUGCAUAGUAUUUGCAAACAGGCAGGAGCACCCUCUCCCCCAAGCAAAUGAUUUCUCAUUCCUUGGAUGACUCUGUAAAUACACGUGCAGAUUAGCUGGAGCUUCAGAAGUACUUAAACAGACAGCUGUACCACUCCUCAUAUCCAGAAAGAAUCUACCAACGAGAAAAGCUACUUGGGGAUAGCAUGCCUUUUAACAAGAAGGUGAAGCUGUUUCAUGAUUUGGGGCAGUGCUGGAUGUCACCAACUGCUGGGAGAUCCAGCUGGGAGAGAUUCUGCUUCCCCAGAGUCUUCAGUCCGGAACAACUGCACUGAAUGCAUUUGGGAUAUAGCCUGGAAAUACUGUUUUAUAAACAAGUUUACUUGAUGAGUUUACUUUGCUGGGUAGCAAUAUUGUCAGCUGGAUCCUAGUGAAGAAGCAGUAAUUAGGAAAGAAGGAAAAAGUUAGCUGUUAGCAUCUUGUCCUGCUCUGCUUUUAAUUAUUGUGGGCUUGUGAAAGUUUGCAGCAAUUAGAGCCACCUUGCUCAAGUAGCCUUUAAACUGGAUUGUUGUUGUUGUCAUAACUGUUAUUGUUCAAGAACUACAUUUUUCAAUUAAGGGAAAUACAUGAGAUACAUUAUCUAUAACAAUCUCUUUUAAUGAUAACAGUGGAUAUGGAAAUUAGUCCAGAGCAGAAAAUUAAAGAUAUUUGAAUAAUUAUAGUG
Molecule: long non-coding RNA, 1312 nt
Filed under: Numida meleagris (helmeted guineafowl)
Lineage: Eukaryota; Metazoa; Chordata; Aves; Galliformes; Numididae
Description: lncRNA (ENSNMEG00000018409.1)
Source: RNAcentral